GACGAACGCUGGCGGCGUGCUUAACACAUGCAAGUCGAACGGAAAGGCCCUGCUUUUGUGGGGUGCUCGAGUGGCGAACGGGUGAGUAACACGUGAGUAACCUGCCCUUGACUUUGGGAUAACUUCAGGAAACUGGGGCUAAUACCGGAUAGGAGCUCCUGCUGCAUGGUGGGGGUUGGAAAGUUUCGGCGGUUGGGGAUGGACUCGCGGCUUAUCAGCUUGUUGGUGGGGUAGUGGCUCACCAAGGCUUUGACGGGUAGCCGGCCCGAGAGGGUGACCGGCCACAUUGGGACUGAGAUACGGCCCAGACUCCUACGGGAGGCAGCAGUGGGGAAUAUUGCACAAUGGGCGGAAGCCUGAUGCAGCAACGCCGCGUGCGGGAUGACGGCCUUCGGGUUGUAAACCGCUUUCGCCUGUGACGAAGCGUGAGUGACGGUAAUGGGUAAAGAAGCACCGGCUAACUACGUG
This 468-nucleotide ribosomal RNA is filed under the name uncultured bacterium. RNAcentral's name for it is "partial 16S ribosomal RNA". It matches the Rfam family "Bacterial small subunit ribosomal RNA", at positions 28 to 507 of the family's 1533-position model. The record is from RNAcentral.